This 231-nucleotide ribosomal RNA is filed under the name uncultured Anoxybacillus sp. RNAcentral describes it as "partial 16S ribosomal RNA". It matches the Rfam family "Bacterial small subunit ribosomal RNA", at positions 1150 to 1382 of the family's 1533-position model. The record is from RNAcentral. Lineage: Bacteria; Bacillati; Bacillota; Bacilli; Caryophanales; Anoxybacillaceae.
CGCCGUAAAUACCGGAGGAAGGUGGGGAUGACGUCAAAUCAUCAUGCCCCUUAUGACCUGGGCUACACACGUGCUACAAUGGGCGGUACAAAGGGUCGCGAACCCGCGAGGGGGAGCCAAUCCCAAAAAGCCGCUCUCAGUUCGGAUUGCAGGCUGCAACUCGCCUGCAUGAAGCCGGAAUCGCUAGUAAUCGCGGAUCAGCAUGCCGCGGUGAAUACGUUCCCGGGCCUU